UACAGAGGGUGCGAGCGUUAAUCGGAAUUACUGGGCGUAAAGCGCGCGUAGGCGGCUUUGCAAGUCGGGUGUGAAAUCCCCAGGCUUAACCUGGGAACUGCAUUCGAGACUGCAUUGCUAGAGUAUGGGAGAGGGAAGUGGAAUUUCCGGUGUAGCGGUGAAAUGCGUAGAUAUCGGAAGGAACAUCAGUGGCGAAAGCGCUCUACUGGACCGCAACUGACACUCAGGGACGAAAGCUAGGGGAGCGAAUGGG
This 253-nucleotide ribosomal RNA is filed under the name uncultured bacterium. Its description in RNAcentral is "partial 16S ribosomal RNA". It matches the Rfam family "Bacterial small subunit ribosomal RNA", at positions 524 to 776 of the family's 1533-position model. The record is from RNAcentral.